Panicum virgatum (switchgrass) is the source of this 139-nucleotide small nucleolar RNA. RefSeq annotates it as small nucleolar RNA Z247. The transcript has a single exon. NCBI's taxonomy places the organism in Eukaryota, Viridiplantae, Streptophyta, Magnoliopsida, Poales, Poaceae. The record is from RefSeq and is a predicted model, not a curated record.
CCGAUCGACAAUGACAAGCUGGUCUCCUACAUCCUCACCGGCCUUGAAGAUGAGUACAACCCCACCGUGACGGCUCUUGUGGCAAGAGCAGACUCGGUGUCCGUCGGCAAGGUGUUUGCGCAACUGCUCAGUUUUGAGC